Non-coding RNA from Kogia breviceps (pygmy sperm whale), 833 nucleotides. The record is from RefSeq and is a predicted model, not a curated record. NCBI's taxonomy places the organism in Eukaryota, Metazoa, Chordata, Mammalia, Artiodactyla, Physeteridae.
AAACAUAAGUACACCUCCUAACAAAGGUCUUAAAUUUUGUUCUUGUGUUUUUGGCAGUGGGUGUUGCUGAUGUUAUAGUCACUUCUGUGUUUAUUUUGUCUCAGAAGGCAUACUGUUUGCAUUCUUUGUCAGGAUAUAUGUGCUAUAAGAGGAAGUAGAGAAAAAAAGAGAAAAAGAAAAAAGAGGAAGUAGAUGUGAGGUAAAUAAAAGUUGUUUAAUAUCUGAGCUCAAAAUUCUAUAACCUGUUCUAAGUUUCCGGGUCUCUGCCAACCCUAUUUUGCCUUUCCGGCUGGCUCACAAUUAAGCUGUGCCUGUAGAGAUUUCCUGAGAGAGACAAGAAGUCUGAAGGAAGGAGAAUCUACUAUGUCUUGUCUCUGUUCCUGUUUUCCUCUCUGUAUCACCCCCCUAAAGAUCCUCCUGAGGGCAGAGAAGUAGAUUCUGCUGCUGAUUUUAAAUCGGGAAAUGUUUCCCACCACCUUGGGAUGCCAAAGUCCGUAUCAUUCGACACUAAAGAAGAGAGUGACUAUCAUUAUGAAAAUGCUGAUGAAGAGAAAGAGGAUGGAAAUGAAAAACCAGAAGAAGGACCCAAGCUGGAUAUGAUCUCAGCAGAGGGCAGCUGUGAAGAAUCCAGUUGGAAGGCAUCAAAAGAAAUGGACAGCGAAGGAAAAGAAGAAUUUGUUCUUCACGGAUAUUCUAGUAUUCAUUAGCCCACAAUACAAAUGUUGUUUCAAAGUUCAGCAUCCCAAAAUGAUAUUAGCUGACAUCUGAGUUUAUUCUUACCUUUGACAGAUAAAUUUGACAGUCUUGUUCACAUUGAAAAUAAAAGCUUGUUU